This 331-nucleotide ribosomal RNA is filed under the name uncultured bacterium. RNAcentral describes it as "bacterial SSU rRNA". It matches the Rfam family "Bacterial small subunit ribosomal RNA", at positions 568 to 898 of the family's 1533-position model. The record is from RNAcentral.
CGCGUAGGCGGCCAUCUUUGUCAGGCGUGAAAGCCCUGGGCUCAACCCAGGAAUUGCGCUUGGGACGGGAUGGCUUGAGUUCGGGAGAGGAGAGUGGAAUUCCCAGUGUAGAGGUGAAAUUCGUAGAUAUUGGGAAGAACACCGGUGGCGAAGGCGGCUCUCUGGACCGAUACUGACGCUGAGGCGCGAAAGCGUGGGGAGCAAACAGGAUUAGAUACCCUGGUAGUCCACGCUGUAAACGAUGUGUGCUAGACGUUGGGAAGCCUAGCUUCUCGGUGUCGCAGCUAACGCGGUAAGCACACCGCCUGGGGAGUACGGCCGCAAGGUUAAA